AUUGAACGCUAGCGGGAUGCCUUACACAUGCAAGUCGAACGGCAGCGCGGACUUCGGUCUGGCGGCGAGUGGCGAACGGGUGAGUAAUGUAUCGGAACGUGCCCAGUAGCGGGGGAUAACUACUCGAAAGAGUAGCUAAUACCGCAUACGCCCUACGGGGGAAAGGGGGGGAUCGCAAGACCUCUCACUAUUGGAGCGGCCGAUAUCGGAUUAGCGAGUUGGUGAGGUAAAGGCUCACCAAGGCGACGAUCCGUAGCUGGUUCGAGAGGACGACCAGCCACACUGGGACUGAGAAACGGCCAAGACUCCAACGGGAGGGAGCAGUGGGGAAUUUUGGACAAUGGGGGCAACCCGGAUCCAGCCAUUCCGCGUGUGCGAUGAAGGCCUUCGGGUUGUAAAGCACUUUUGGCAGGAAAGAAAUCGCACGGAUUAAUACUCUGUGUGGAUGACGGUACCUGCAGAAUAAGCACCGGCUAACUACGUGCCAGCAGCCGCCGUAA
RNAcentral lists this ribosomal RNA (500 nucleotides) under uncultured bacterium. Its description in RNAcentral is "partial 16S ribosomal RNA". It matches the Rfam family "Bacterial small subunit ribosomal RNA", at positions 29 to 523 of the family's 1533-position model. The record is from RNAcentral.